This 831-nucleotide long non-coding RNA is filed under the name Fukomys damarensis (Damara mole-rat). Its description in RNAcentral is "lncRNA (ENSFDAG00000029846.1)". Lineage: Eukaryota; Metazoa; Chordata; Mammalia; Rodentia; Bathyergidae. The record is from RNAcentral.
AUUUGAACUUAAGUCUGAUUGCAUGAUGCAAAGUUGUGUUAAAAUAUGACCCACAAGCCAUUCGUGUGAAAUUUUAGUCUCACUACAUAUUCUAAAUGAGGGAGUUCAGGCACCUUAACACAGUGUUAAGGGCAGUAAAAUUUGAGAUCUAUCAAGCUAAACUCUGUGAGAUCGAGUCUCGGCAAAAGAGAAAGGAGCAGCUGAAGGAAACAGAACAGAGAAAAUAGGAAGGCUUGGGUAUUUUCCAAAGGACUCGGGCAUUGUCUUCCAAGUGAAAAUAGUGAUUGGCAGUUUCAAGGAAGCGGCUGCCGCUCAGGAACACCUCGGUAACGACUGCAUUUUGAAGAAGGGUUAUCUUCAGGCAUCCCCAGUGUGUUUCAUCGCAGCGGGCUGAGAAGGGAGAAGCCGUGCAGGUUUACCGCUGCCCCACAGAGCCGAGUUCGGAGACUGGAGUCAAACUUGCCGGACCUCGGGAAGAUGGAGCUGCCCAGCCUGAAAGGAAGAGGUCCAUCGAUGACAGAUUCUCAGUAGACCCUGGAGACAAACUACCAGAGGGAGGGGAGGGAGGGAGCGGUGGGGAGAGGAGGGUGGUGUGGGCGCACAGAUGCUGCGGUGGGUGGAACCGAGGGCUGCUCACGUGUACUCACAAAAAUACACAGCAAAAGGCAAAGAAAACAAAUAUUUUGAGUGGUUUGACUGUAAUUUGGCUUUGAGUGUAAUAAAUAUUUUCACUUAAAAACAAGGAGGGAGAAGGGGAGUUUAUAGGAUAUUCAAUGACUCGAAAUAAAACUAACCAAACAACAAACAAUACCAUCAAUGUUUAAAGCCCAC